Phrynosoma platyrhinos (Desert horned lizard) is the source of this 77-nucleotide non-coding RNA. NCBI's taxonomy places the organism in Eukaryota, Metazoa, Chordata, Lepidosauria, Squamata, Phrynosomatidae. The record is from the annotation of a GenBank genome assembly.
GGCUGAGAGCUGGUGUAGUGUUUUGAGUGCUGGACUUUGACUCUCUAGAGAUCAGGGUUCGAUUCCCUGCUUGGCCU